GACGGAAGGUGCAAGCGUUGCUCGGAACCACUGGGCGUAAAGGGUGCGUAGGCGGCUUGGUAAGUUGGGUGUGAAAGCCCCGGGCUCAGCCCGGGAAGGGCACUCGAAACUGCCGAGCUGGAGUGCCGGAGGGGAGAGUGGAAUUCCCGGUGUAGCGGUGAAAUGCGCAGAUAUCGGGAGGAACACCAAUGGCGAAGGCAGCUCGCUGGGACGGUACUGACGCUGAGACGCGAAAGCGUGGGGAGCAAACAGG
RNAcentral lists this ribosomal RNA (253 nucleotides) under uncultured bacterium. Its description in RNAcentral is "partial 16S ribosomal RNA". It matches the Rfam family "Bacterial small subunit ribosomal RNA", at positions 524 to 776 of the family's 1533-position model. The record is from RNAcentral.